AUUGAACGCUGGCGGCACGCUUAACACAUGCAAGUCGAACGGCAGCACAGGUGCUUGCACCGGGUGGCGAGUGGCGGACGGGUGAGUAAUGCGUAGGAAUCUGCCCAGUAGUGGGGGACAACUCGGGGAAACUCGAGCUAAUACCGCAUACGCCCUACGGGGGAAAGCGGGGGAUCUUCGGACCUCGCGCUAUUGGAUGAGCCUAAGUCGGAUUAGCUUGUUGGUAGGGUAACGGCCUACCAAGGCGACGAUCCGUAGCUGGUCUGAGAGGACGAUCAGCCACACUGGGACUGAGACACGGCCCAGACUCCUACGGGAGGCAGCAGUGGGGAAUAUUGGACAAUGGGGGCAACCCUGAUCCAGCAAUGCCGCGUGUGUGAAGAAGGCCUGCGGGUUGUAAAGCACUUUCAGUAGAGAAGAAAAGCUUAGGGUUAAUACCCCUGAGUCUUGACGUAACCUACAGAAGAAGCACCGGCUAACUCCGUG
Molecule: ribosomal RNA, 486 nt
Filed under: uncultured bacterium
Lineage: Bacteria
Description: bacterial SSU rRNA
Rfam family: Bacterial small subunit ribosomal RNA
Source: RNAcentral